GUCUACAGCCAUACUACCUUGAACACACCCUCUUAUCUGAUCUUGGAAGCCAAGCAAGGUUGGUCCUGGCUGGCCUGGUCCCGGAGGAGAAGUAAAAAGAAACUAUGAGAAGAAAUAAGUAAGAAAUAACAGCAGCUGUAGACU
This 144-nucleotide ribosomal RNA is filed under the name Mesocricetus auratus (golden hamster). Lineage: Eukaryota; Metazoa; Chordata; Mammalia; Rodentia; Cricetidae. The record is from RNAcentral.